RNAcentral lists this long non-coding RNA (552 nucleotides) under Malus domestica (apple). RNAcentral's name for it is "long non-coding RNA (MDOM_LNC001267)". Lineage: Eukaryota; Viridiplantae; Streptophyta; Magnoliopsida; Rosales; Rosaceae. The record is from RNAcentral.
CCAGUGCAGGUGAUUUACCUUAGCUCGUUUUUAACUACAUGUUAUGUAUGUAAUUUGGCAUGCUAGUGCUCAUUUUGUUUAUUUUCUUUUGUUCUCUACCAAUGUUCAGGCCGCUGCCCAAGACUAAGAGUUCAACGUCUUGAAGUUGACUCCUGCCGAUUUUUUUUAGCACAAUCAUUAAGUAUGGUUUUUUUUUUUUCAACACAGAUUGCUUCUUAUUUUCACUUCAUGCGUGACGGUGGAAAAAUUUCUUUCGAGUUGUGGAGAUAGUAUUGAGAUAUAGUUUUUGGUCGGAUGUCAUAUCAUAGUGUUACAUAAAAUUCAUGAAACAGAAUUUCGUCUUUGCUAAUUAAUGCCUAGUUUUCAAUGGAGUUUUGAUCCACAGAAGGCAGAUAGAUGCUUUGUUAAUUUCCAUUCCUCACCAUUUGGACUAACCUGACGGAAUUUGGAUCCUUUCUGGACCUUAGUGUUCGUAGGCUAAGGUAAGGACCACGAAAUAUGGGCCCUUGGUUUGUGUGCUAGAGAGAUCGAAGUACUUGAUUUUUGUGACCC